GGCCUGUUAGCUCAGUUGGUUAGAGCGCCGUCCUAGUAACGCGGAGGUCAUGAGUUCGAUCCUCUUACGGGCCA
Molecule: transfer RNA, 74 nt
Filed under: Daphnia pulex (common water flea)
Lineage: Eukaryota; Metazoa; Arthropoda; Branchiopoda; Diplostraca; Daphniidae
Rfam family: tRNA
About the family: Transfer RNA (tRNA) molecules are approximately 80 nucleotides in length.
Source: Rfam by way of RNAcentral